This 867-nucleotide long non-coding RNA is filed under the name Aquilegia coerulea. Its description in RNAcentral is "long non-coding RNA (ACOE_LNC001368)". Lineage: Eukaryota; Viridiplantae; Streptophyta; Magnoliopsida; Ranunculales; Ranunculaceae. The record is from RNAcentral.
AUCUUCUCCCGAUCUCUCUUCUUCAGCCUGCCUUCUACCUCAGCGAGUUCUUUAUCCAAUUUGUUUUUUUGUGUUUCCAUAUUUCAUUUUUCAUAUUUUUUUUUCUUCUUUUCCACAAGAGUGGGUUAGUAAUUGUCUCUUUUUGAUUUUCGUUUAUAAUUGGAUUUGAGGUUUAUUUGUAAGAGGCUUUUUAUAAAUAAAAAAAUACUCAUCCAUUUAUACGAUACGAUACGAUACGAUACGAUACGAUACGAUUGAAAUGUAAAGGUGAGAAAGGUUAGUUUCAUUUUAUUAUUUUUUUUUUUUUUGUAUAUAGUAUAUUGUUUUUUAGGCUAUAUAUGGUUCUGUUUCCAUCAGUAUUCAUUUCUUCAAAUCUCCUGCAAACCCAUUUCCUUCUUGCGGAUACAGUAAAUAUUUUCAAUUUGUUUUUGCAACUUAUCUAAUUUUUUUUUUUUUUUACCAAAUCGAGGUUUAUAUGUAAUCUGUCAUUUACAAUUAUACUUUUACUGUGAGGGAAGUUUAUUUGCUCAUUUACAAUUGUUCCUCUACUGUUGUUUCAUUAUUAAAGGAGGCAUUCACCGAAAGGCCAUACCCAGAUUAUUGUCUACUAUGGAUUUUUUAAUCACUCAAAGUUAUUGUCUUCCUCUCAAGAUUUUUUUUUUCUUUUUUAAAAUUAAACUAAAUUCAUUUAUUUAGUUUUCCGAUCAUUAUUGAUUUUUUGUUUGCUGAAAUUUAUAUUGAACCGAAGUUUAUCAUUUUCUUUAGAUAGCUUGAACAACUCUUCCCAGGGGAAGAGUCCUACCAAGGAUGGAAACCGCUUCUUUAACAGAAAUUGUUUGGGUUUUAUGAUAUCAAGAGAAGAGAUUG